Molecule: ribosomal RNA, 409 nt
Filed under: uncultured bacterium
Lineage: Bacteria
Description: bacterial SSU rRNA
Rfam family: Bacterial small subunit ribosomal RNA
Source: RNAcentral
CUCAACCCCGCGUAUGGCAUGCGAUACUGUGUGGCUAGAGACAGGUAGGGGCGAGCGGAAUUCCCGGUGUAGCGGUGGAAUGCGUAGAUAUCGGGAAGAACAUCCGUGGCGAAGGCGGCUCGCUGGGCCUGUUCUGACGCUGAAGCGCGAAAGCGUGGGGAGCGAACAGGAUUAGAUACCCUGGUAGUCCACGCCGUAAACGCUGGGUACUAGAUGUUGGGGCUGUGGGAUCCGUGACGCAGUUAACGCAGUAAGCACACCACCUGGGGAGUACGUUCGCAAGAAUGAAACUCAAAGGAAUUGACGGGGGCCCGCACAAGCGGUGGAGCAUGUGGCUUAAUUCGAUGCAACGCGAAGAACCUUACCUGGGCUAAAUCCGCCUUGACCGUCCCUGAAAGGGGACUUCCCU